This 69-nucleotide transfer RNA is filed under the name Anomala russiventris. RNAcentral describes it as "tRNA-Met". It matches the Rfam family "tRNA". From Rfam's summary of the family: Transfer RNA (tRNA) molecules are approximately 80 nucleotides in length. Their secondary structure includes four short double-helical elements and three loops (D, anti-codon, and T loops). The record is from RNAcentral. Lineage: Eukaryota; Metazoa; Arthropoda; Insecta; Coleoptera; Scarabaeidae.
AAAAAGAUAAGCUAACUAAGCUACUGGGCUCAUACCCCAUCAAUAAAGGUCCCAAUCCUUUUCUUUUUG